This 465-nucleotide ribosomal RNA is filed under the name Vreelandella stevensii. RNAcentral's name for it is "partial 16S ribosomal RNA". It matches the Rfam family "Bacterial small subunit ribosomal RNA", at positions 338 to 795 of the family's 1533-position model. Lineage: Bacteria; Pseudomonadati; Pseudomonadota; Gammaproteobacteria; Oceanospirillales; Halomonadaceae. The record is from RNAcentral.
CCUACGGGUGGCUGCAGUGGGGAAUAUUGGACAAUGGGGGGAACCCUGAUCCAGCCAUGCCGCGUGUGUGAAGAAGGCCCUCGGGUUGUAAAGCACUUUCAGUGAGGAAGAACGCCUGGUGGUUAAUACCCAUCAGGAAAGACAUCACUCACAGAAGCAGCACCGGCUAACUCCGUGCCAGCAGCCGCGGUAAUACGGAGGGUGCGAGCGUUAAUCGGAAUUACUGGGCGUAAAGCGCGCGUAGGUGGCUUGAUAAGCCGGUUGUGAAAGCCCCGGGCUCAACCUGGGAACGGCAUCCGGAACUGUCCAGCUAGAGUGCAGGAGAGGAAGGUAGAAUUCCCGGUGUAGCGGUGAAAUGCGUAGAGAUCGGGAGGAAUACCAGUGGCGAAGGCGGCCUUCUGGACUGACACUGACACUGAGGUGCGAAAGCUUGGGUAGCAAACAGGAUUAGAUACCCUAGUAGUC